GAUGAACGCUGGCGGCGUGCCUAAUACAUGCAAGUCGAGCGAACAGACGAGGAGCUUGCUCCUCUGACGUUAGCGGCGGACGGGUGAGUAACACGUGGAUAACCUACCUAUAAGACUGGGAUAAUCUCGGGAAACCGGAGCUAAUACCGGAUAAUAUAUUGAACCGCAUGGUUCAAUAGUGAAAGACGGUUUUGCUGUCACUUAUAGAUGGAUCCGCGCCGCAUUAGCUAGUUGGUAAGGUAACGGCUUACCAAGGCAACGAUGCGUAGCCGACCUGAGAGGGUGGUCGGCCACACUGGAGCUGAGACACGGUCCAGACGCCUACGGGAGGCAGCAGUAGGGAAUCUUCCGCAAUGGGCGGAAGCCUGACGGAGCAACGCCGCGUGAGUGGUGAAGGUCUUCGGAUCGUGAAACUCUGUUAUUAGGGAAGAACAAAUGUGUAAGUAACUGUGCACGUCUUGACGGUACCUAAUCAGAAAGCCACGGCUAACUACGUG
Molecule: ribosomal RNA, 497 nt
Filed under: uncultured bacterium
Lineage: Bacteria
Description: partial 16S ribosomal RNA
Rfam family: Bacterial small subunit ribosomal RNA
Source: RNAcentral